Molecule: ribosomal RNA, 773 nt
Filed under: uncultured Neocallimastigales
Lineage: Eukaryota; Fungi; Neocallimastigomycota; Neocallimastigomycetes; Neocallimastigales
Description: partial large subunit ribosomal RNA
Rfam family: Eukaryotic large subunit ribosomal RNA
Source: RNAcentral
AGAGAGAGACAUGCGCGCAUAUCAAUAAGCGGAGGAAAAGAAACUAACUAGGAUUCCCUUAGUAACGGCGAGUGAAGCGGGAAGAGCUCAAAUUUGAAAUCUUCAAGGUUUUACCUUGACGAAUUGUAGUUUAAAGAAGUGUUUUCUGUUGGAGUUUUGGUAAAAGUUCUUUGGAAUAGGACAUCAUAGAGGGUGAGAAUCCCGUAUUUGACCAUUAUUUCAGCUUUGUGAUACACUUUCAAAGAGUCGGAUUGUUUGGGAAUGCAGUCCAAAAUGGGUGGUAAAUUUCAUCUAAAGCUAAAUAUUGGCGAGAGACCGAUAGCGAACAAGUACCGUGAGGGAAAGAUGAAAAGAACUUUGAAAAGAGAGUUAAACAGUACGUGAAAUUGUCAAAAGGGAAGCGUUUGACACCAGUGUUGUUUUCUCGAAAAUCAAUUAAAAAAGGCAGGAUUUUGUGUUGUAUUGACUUUAUCAGCUUUCUGCACUCUUUUCUUGUCUUUUUUAAUGCACUUUUCGUUUAACAAGUCAACAUCAGUUUCCUUUGUUGUAAAAAGGGUCAUUGGAAGGUGGCUUUCUUUUCGGAGAAAGUGUUUAUAGCCUUUGGCCUCUGCAAUCGGAGAGAUUGAGGUCUGCAGCGUAGAUCCUUCGGGGUUAGAUACAUUUGUGCUAAGUUAUAGCCUUUCAUAGACAACUUGUUGACUAUGAUCAGUCAUGUAGCUUACUCACUUAUGCUAUUUUACCUACGCUUAGGAUGUUGAUGUGAUACUGCGAGC